This 32-nucleotide ribosomal RNA is filed under the name Scedosporium dehoogii. Its description in RNAcentral is "partial 28S ribosomal RNA". Lineage: Eukaryota; Fungi; Ascomycota; Sordariomycetes; Microascales; Microascaceae. The record is from RNAcentral.
UUUGACCUCGGAUCAGUAGGUUACCCGCUGAA